CUUUCUGGUUUGAUUCAUCAUCACAUGCUCACAGUUUCCGUGCCUCAUUGUUUUGGUCAUUCCUGCAAAAUAAAAAACAUAAAUUAAGAAUUUUCCCCCCCUGUUUGUUCGAGAAUCGAACCGUCUGACGUGAAAUUGAGAUGAAAUUUCUGACCUUGUGGUCGACUCAGAUCAGAACAAGAAAGUUUCUGACGAACAUUGGAACAGGCCUGGCCUUCUCAUUCAUUCGCCGUCCUGGUGCUGUUGUUUGCCUACUCUACAUCGUACAUGCGGACCAAUGGACCAUGCGCGCUCGUCAAACUGAUAGGAGAAGAAAAAAAGGCAUAAAUUUGCGUAAGAAAGUCUCACAUAUUUCCACCGUACAACGCAGGAAGCAACCAAUCAGGCAGCUCUCGUGAUUUCUCCUACGCUGUCAGCACCAAUGAUUUGAUGAAUUUCUAGGCAGCAGCAAGCCAGCAACUCGGCGGAAUUCGAGGAAGAAGAUCCGCCGAUUACUUUACUCGUCCUGAUAAUUAAAUUCUCUGCUAUGCAGCACAGCGAGCAGCGC
RNAcentral lists this long non-coding RNA (547 nucleotides) under Oryza brachyantha (malo sina). RNAcentral describes it as "long non-coding RNA (OBRA_LNC000210)". Lineage: Eukaryota; Viridiplantae; Streptophyta; Magnoliopsida; Poales; Poaceae. The record is from RNAcentral.